CAUUAGAUGACUGAAAUGCAAGUAUUGGUCUCUUAAACCAUAGAAUAGUAGAAUGCACCUACUUCUAAUGG
RNAcentral lists this transfer RNA (71 nucleotides) under Scarabaeidae sp. BMNH 1274753. RNAcentral's name for it is "tRNA-Lys". The record is from RNAcentral. Lineage: Eukaryota; Metazoa; Arthropoda; Insecta; Coleoptera; Scarabaeidae.